RNAcentral lists this non-coding RNA (28 nucleotides) under Homo sapiens (human). Lineage: Eukaryota; Metazoa; Chordata; Mammalia; Primates; Hominidae. The record is from RNAcentral.
UCUGCACUCGCGUGGGAACGAGAAGACA